Molecule: ribosomal RNA, 2551 nt
Filed under: Salmonella enterica subsp. enterica serovar Oranienburg
Lineage: Bacteria; Pseudomonadati; Pseudomonadota; Gammaproteobacteria; Enterobacterales; Enterobacteriaceae
Description: partial 23S ribosomal RNA
Rfam family: Bacterial large subunit ribosomal RNA
Source: RNAcentral
CCGAGAUUCCCCCAGUAGCGGCGAGCGAACGGGGAGGAGCCCAGAGCCUGAAUCAGCAUGUGUGUUAGUGGAAGCGUCUGGAAAGGCGCGCGAUACAGGGUGACAGCCCCGUACACAAAAGCGCAUGUGCUGUGAGCUCGAUGAGUAGGGCGGGACACGUGGUAUCCUGUCUGAAUAUGGGGGGACCAUCCUCCAAGGCUAAAUACUCCUGACUGACCGAUAGUGAACCAGUACCGUGAGGGAAAGGCGAAAAGAACCCCGGCGAGGGGAGUGAAAAAGAACCUGAAACCGUGUACGUACAAGCAGUGGGAGCACCCUUUGGGGUGUGACUGCGUACCUUUUGUAUAAUGGGUCAGCGACUUAUAUUCUGUAGCAAGGUUAACCGUAUAGGGGAGCCGGAGGGAAACCGAGUCUUAACCGGGCGUUAAGUUGCAGGGUAUAGACCCGAAACCCGGUGAUCUAGCCAUGGGCAGGUUGAAGGUUGGGUAACACUAACUGGAGGACCGAACCGACUAAUGUUGAAAAAUUAGCGGAUGACCUGUGGCUGGGGGUGAAAGGCCAAUCAAACCGGGAGAUAGCUGGUUCUCCCCGAAAGCUAUUUAGGUAGCGCCUCGUGAAUUCAUCUCCGGGGGUAGAGCACUGUUUCGGCUAGGGGGCCAUCCCGGCUUACCAACCCGAUGCAAACUGCGAAUACCGGAGAAUGUUAUCACGGGAGACACACGGCGGGUGCUAACGUCCGUCGUGAAGAGGGAAACAACCCAGACCGCCAGCUAAGGUCCCAAAGUCAUGGUUAAGUGGGAAACGAUGUGGGAAGGCCCAGACAGCCAGGAUGUUGGCUUAGAAGCAGCCAUCAUUUAAAGAAAGCGUAAUAGCUCACUGGUCGAGUCGGCCUGCGCGGAAGAUGUAACGGGGCUAAACCAUGCACCGAAGCUGCGGCAGCGACACUCAGGUGUUGUUGGGUAGGGGAGCGUUCUGUAAGCCUGCGAAGGUGUGUCGUGAGGCAUGCUGGAGGUAUCAGAAGUGCGAAUGCUGACAUAAGUAACGAUAAAGCGGGUGAAAAGCCCGCUCGCCGGAAGACCAAGGGUUCCUGUCCAACGUUAAUCGGGGCAGGGUGAGUCGACCCCUAAGGCGAGGCCGAAAGGCGUAGUCGAUGGGAAACGGGUUAAUAUUCCCGUACUUGGUGUUACUGCGAAGGGGGGACGGAGAAGGCUAUGUUGGCCGGGCGACGGUUGUCCCGGUUUAAGCGUGUAGGUGUGUGUUCCAGGUAAAUCCGGUUCACUUUAACACUGAGGCGUGACGACGAGGCACUACGGUGCUGAAGCAACAAAUGCCCUGCUUCCAGGAAAAGCCUCUAAGCAUCAGGUAACAUCAAAUCGUACCCCAAACCGACACAGGUGGUCAGGUAGAGAAUACCAAGGCGCUUGAGAGAACUCGGGUGAAGGAACUAGGCAAAAUGGUGCCGUAACUUCGGGAGAAGGCACGCUGACACGUAGGUGAAGUGAUUUACUCACGGAGCUGAAGUCAGUCGAAGAUACCAGCUGGCUGCAACUGUUUAUUAAAAACACAGCACUGUGCAAACACGAAAGUGGACGUAUACGGUGUGACGCCUGCCCGGUGCCGGAAGGUUAAUUGAUGGGGUCAGCGCAAGCGAAGCUCCUGAUCGAAGCCCCGGUAAACGGCGGCCGUAACUAUAACGGUCCUAAGGUAGCGAAAUUCCUUGUCGGGUAAGUUCCGACCUGCACGAAUGGCGUAAUGAUGGCCAGGCUGUCUCCACCCGAGACUCAGUGAAAUUGAACUCGCUGUGAAGAUGCAGUGUACCCGCGGCAAGACGGAAAGACCCCGUGAACCUUUACUAUAGCUUGACACUGAACAUUGAGCCUUGAUGUGUAGGAUAGGUGGGAGGCUUUGAAGUGUGGACGCCAGUCUGCAUGGAGCCGACCUUGAAAUACCACCCUUUAAUGUUUGAUGUUCUAACGUGGACCCGUAAUCCGGGUUGCGGACAGUGUCUGGUGGGUAGUUUGACUGGGGCGGUCUCCUCCUAAAGAGUAACGGAGGAGCACGAAGGUUGGCUAAUCCUGGUCGGACAUCAGGAGGUUAGUGCAAUGGCAUAAGCCAGCUUGACUGCGAGCGUGACGGCGCGAGCAGGUGCGAAAGCAGGUCAUAGUGAUCCGGUGGUUCUGAAUGGAAGGGCCAUCGCUCAACGGAUAAAAGGUACUCCGGGGAUAACAGGCUGAUACCGCCCAAGAGUUCAUAUCGACGGCGGUGUUUGGCACCUCGAUGUCGGCUCAUCACAUCCUGGGGCUGAAGUAGGUCCCAAGGGUAUGGCUGUUCGCCAUUUAAAGUGGUACGCGAGCUGGGUUUAGAACGUCGUGAGACAGUUCGGUCCCUAUCUGCCGUGGGCGCUGGAGAACUGAGGGGGGCUGCUCCUAGUACGAGAGGACCGGAGUGGACGCAUCACUGGUGUUCGGGUUGUCAUGCCAAUGGCACUGCCCGGUAGCUAAAUGCGGAAGAGAUAAGUGCUGAAAGCAUCUAAGCACGAAACUUGCCCCGA